UUCUGGAGUGAAGUGGAAUCUCAGGGUUGUUUUCAUUUGCAUCUCUCGAAAGACCAGUGAUGUUGAACAUUUUUUCAUAUCUCCCGCCUUUGCUCUCUAUUGAGGCUGUAUUACUGGCUAUUCACUGCGAAGAGAGACAUCUUCCUUUUUCACCUCUGCAUCAUUAAAAGAAUGGCUAUCACCAAGAAAUCAACCAAUGACAAAUGCUGGCAGGGAUGUGGAAAGAAAGGAACCACUCUCCACUGUUGGUGAGAGUGCAGACUGAUGCAACCACUAUGGAAAUCAGUGUGGAGAUUCCUCAAAACUAAAACUAGAGGUUCUAUUUCACCCAACUAUUCCCCUUUGAGUUAUCUUCCCAAAGGAGUUAA
RNAcentral lists this long non-coding RNA (368 nucleotides) under Heterocephalus glaber (naked mole-rat). RNAcentral's name for it is "lncRNA (ENSHGLG00100042012.1)". The record is from RNAcentral. Lineage: Eukaryota; Metazoa; Chordata; Mammalia; Rodentia; Bathyergidae.